This 2062-nucleotide long non-coding RNA is filed under the name Sus scrofa (pig). Its description in RNAcentral is "lncRNA (ENSSSCG00025014176.1)". Lineage: Eukaryota; Metazoa; Chordata; Mammalia; Artiodactyla; Suidae. The record is from RNAcentral.
CGAGAAUCGUCGCCCAACCCUGACCACUCUUUUCCUCCUUUGUCUCUUGUCUGUCUUUGGGUUUCGAGGAGAAGACGAGGGAAGAUGAACAAGCUGAGGGAGGGAGAAACGGACGUUAUCUGGAGGAGAGUUCUGCCGAGGCCCAGUGGGGGAGGAGACCUGCUGCUUCCCAAGGGCAGGUGACAAGGGUGUCCUGCUACUUCCCAGGCAGAAAGUUCCUUCUGUUGACCCUGUGAGUGGUGCCUAGGCCUGGCGACUUGAUUUGCAGGGCCCCGUGGAAAAUGAAAAUAUGGCCUCCUUGUUAAAAAUUCAUGAAGAAUUUUUCCUUUUUUUUUUUAAAUUUGAUUUUUCUUAGAGUAUAGUUGAUUUACAGUGUUCCAAUUUCGGUCGCAGAGCACAGUGACCCAGUCCCACAUAUAUAAAGGACAUAUUCUUUUUUUUUUUUUUUAUCAUGGUCUAUCCCAGGAGACUGAAUAUAGCUCCCAGGGCUGUGCAGGAAGACCUCAUUGCUUAUCCAUUCAUGAAGAAUUUUAAGACAGUGACAGCAGAGGGUUAAGCAAACAUGGGAUGCGUCUAGGUGUGGACUGUCACACUUGACACUGGUACCUCCAGGAAUCCCGCCGUGGUGCUCUUUGAUGGAGGUUUCAAGUACUGAGCUUUGGGUGGUCCCAGCAUCUGAGAGGCCGCGGGGGGCCGGGGCCAAGAAAAUGGGGAAAAGGCUAUGUCACGUCCGACUUCCACGUCCUCGCUGACACCGUGGUGCUCAAACCCAGUGUCCAUCUCUGCUUGCCCUUUGCUGGGCGCGGGCUACCAGAAUUCCUGCUGAGCCUGGGCUCCUGAUCCGGGAAAAUGAGUGGUCUGGAACCGAACCGGCAGUGUUUCUGAGUUAUGCCCUGCAACAUUAGGCUGAGUCUAAGGAUAUCAAGUCAACAAAACAGUCAGAUAAAUGUGCCAGUUAAAAUUCUGGAGAUGUCCUUCUUAGACCUGGCCUUGUCACCAAGCACACAUUCUUGGAGAUUCUACGGGAAUGGCAGCAACGGGAUGCUGGAGGCCGGGGCUCUUAGUACUGCACAGGAGAAAAUGGGUGUGUGAUCUCAGCUCCCAGAAGACCAGAGAUUGAACCCAGGCCACAGAGGUGAAAAUGCUGAAUCCUAACCACUAAACUACCAGGGGAUCCCCAAAUUCAAUGAACUGACCCAUUUGAUCAAUGCAACGACCAAUUAUAUUUUGUGGUGAGUGAUUUUCUUAUCUUUGGCCCUGGCUAUUUCUAUCAUUGCUUAGUAUUUGAGUAUUUUUUAAUUACUUUGGAUUGAGAAUUAUUCCCAAGUGCUAAAAUCACUAGAUAUCCACUAACAAUUUUCAUGUAAGGUAUGACUAUCAUGGUUUUCCUUAAGUAAGUAAGUAUAUUUAAUAGUUCUCCAAAACCAAAGAAUGAUUUAUUUCUGACUGAAAAUAAGUAACAUAAAAUGAGCUUACUACCGAUAAAACUAUCACUAGGCCGUUCCCUUCUGUCACUGGUCAAUGGGAGAAAAAGAUGCGAGGCAGAGACAAGUUAGUCAUAGGAACCCAUUGUGGAUUUAAAAAAAAAUGCCUUUUGUUGUUGUUGUGUUUUUUUAAGGGCUGUGGACUUGGCAUAUGGAAGUUCCCAGGCUAGGGGUUGAACUGGAGCUGCAGCUUCCAGCCUAUGCCACAGCCACAGCAAUGCCAGAUCUGAGCUGAAUCUAUGACCUAUACCACAGCUCAUGGCAGUUCUGGAUCCUUAACCCACUGAACGAGGCCAGGGAUCGAACCCAUGUCCUCAUGGGACCUCCUAAAUGCAUUUUAAAAAAAACUUCUUGGUGUUCCCGUCGUGGCUCGGUGGUUAACAAAUCUGACUGGGAACCAUGAGGUGGUGGGUUCGAUCCCUGGCCUUGCUCAGUGGGUUGAGGAUCCGGCAUUGCCAUGAGCUGCUACAGCUCCGAUUCGGCCCCUAGCCUGGUAUCCGCCAUAUGCCUCGGGUACAGCCCUAGAAAAGACAAAAAGAUGAAAUAAAUAAAAUUUUAAAAUAAAUAAAAAAAACCUU